Molecule: long non-coding RNA, 571 nt
Filed under: Homo sapiens (human)
Lineage: Eukaryota; Metazoa; Chordata; Mammalia; Primates; Hominidae
Description: HSALNT0314092
Source: RNAcentral
GACUCUAUGAUUUUGACUACUCUAGGCACCUCAUACUGGAACUAGUUCACAGACCCAAAGAUGCUUGAAUGAAGGAAAGGCAGCCUUCCCUGGAGGAAGAACUCAACAGCGCUUCCACAAAUAGUACAUUUUUACUGAUUAUCAAAGAAGGACUGUGACUAAACUAGAAGGAGAAUUAACACUAUCCAGAGAUGGCUACAGUUCUGAAGGGAAACUUUGAGUCUCCACCUUUCCAAGAGUGGAUAAUCCUCUCUCCACAACUUGAUAAUGCACAAACUGCAAAUCUUCUGGUACUCACUGCUGCAAGCAAACUUGAAGUCUUUCUGAGCCUGACUCUUCAUUCCUGCCUUGUGUGACCCAGGGAUGGAGGACUGCCCUCCCAACUCAUUAUCCUCUUUGCCCAGGAGCUGUACAUACAAAGGUGGUGAUUCCAAAGAAUUAGAGCAAACAAGCUGGAGCUGGAAUCUGUCCUGUUAUAAAAAAUCUGUUCCGCCCAAUCACGAGAAUGUAUGGGUCAAGGUUACAGCCAAUGCCUGCAAAUCACCACCGUGUGUUUCAUUGAAGAAAGUGC